This 272-nucleotide ribosomal RNA is filed under the name uncultured bacterium. RNAcentral describes it as "partial 16S ribosomal RNA". It matches the Rfam family "Bacterial small subunit ribosomal RNA", at positions 85 to 354 of the family's 1533-position model. The record is from RNAcentral.
CUGCCGGCGACCGGCGCACGGGUGAGUAACACGUAUGCGACCUGCCCCCGCAGGGGGAUAACCGGGAGAAAUCCCGACUAAUACCGCGUAACGCCGCGGACCUGCAUGGGUCUGCGGCCAAAGGAAGCGAUUCCGGCGGGGGAUGGGCAUGCGGCGCAUUAGCUAGUCGGCGGGGUAACGGCCCACCGAGGCGACGAUGCGUAGGGGUUCUGAGAGGAAGGUCCCCCACACUGGUACUGAGACACGGACCAGACUCCUACGGGAGGCAGCAG